AUUGAACGCUGGCGGCAGGCCUAACACAUGCAAGUCGAGCGGCAGCGGGAAAGUAGCUUGCUACUUUUGCCGGCGAGCGGCGGACGGGUGAGUAAUGCCUGGGGAUCUGCCCAGUCGAGGGGGAUAACUACUGGAAACGGUAGCUAAUACCGCAUACGUCCUACGGGGGAAAGCAGGGGACCUUCGGGCCCUGCGCGAGUGGAUGACCCCAGGUGGGAUUAGCUAGUUGGUGAGGUAAUGGCUCACCAAGGCGACGAUCGCUAGCUGGUCUGAGAGGAUGAUCAGCCACACUGGAACUGAGACACGGUCCAGACUCCUACGGGAGGCAGCAGUGGGGAAUAUUGCACAAUGGGGGAAACCCUGAUGCAGCCAUGCCGCGUGUGUGAAGAAGGCCUUCGGGUUGUAAAGCACUUUCAGCGAGGAGGAAAGGUUGGUAGCUAAUAACUGCCAGCUGUGACGUUACUCGCAGAAGAAGCACCGGCUAACUGCGUGCCAGCCGCCGCAGUAA
Molecule: ribosomal RNA, 508 nt
Filed under: uncultured bacterium
Lineage: Bacteria
Description: partial 16S ribosomal RNA
Rfam family: Bacterial small subunit ribosomal RNA
Source: RNAcentral